Molecule: ribosomal RNA, 253 nt
Filed under: uncultured bacterium
Lineage: Bacteria
Description: partial 16S ribosomal RNA
Rfam family: Bacterial small subunit ribosomal RNA
Source: RNAcentral
UACGUAGGGUGCAAGCGUUGUCCGGAAUUAUUGGGCGUAAAGAGCUCGUAGGCGGCUUGUCGCGUCGACCGUGAAAACUUGGGGCUCAACCCCAAGCCUGCGGUCGAUACGGGCAGGCUAGAGUUCGGUAGGGGAGACUGGAAUUCCUGGUGUAGCGGUGAAAUGCGCAGAUAUCGGGAGGAACACCGGUGGCGAAGGCGGGUCUCUGGGCAGUAACUGACGCUGAGGAGCGAAAGCGUGGGGAGCGAACAGG